AGCUUCGCGCAGCGGCGAUAUCGCAACCAACCACGUUCUACCGAGGUGCGAUUAUUUUUAGUCGAAAACUUUUGUCAAUAUCCCGCUCUGACGAUUUAGAACAUUAAGAACGUUAGAGUCAUAUAUGCAGGCUGACUGACCAA
Bombus huntii is the source of this 143-nucleotide small nuclear RNA. RefSeq annotates it as U4 spliceosomal RNA. NCBI's taxonomy places the organism in Eukaryota, Metazoa, Arthropoda, Insecta, Hymenoptera, Apidae. The record is from RefSeq and is a predicted model, not a curated record. The transcript has a single exon.